GACCAGACUCCUACGGGAGGCAGCAGUGGGGAAUAUUGCGCAAUGGGGGAAACCCUGACGCAGCAACGCCGCGUGAGUGAAGAGGUAUCUCGGUAUGUAAAGCUCUAUCAGCGGGGAAGAAGGAAGACGGUACCCGACUAAGAAGCCCCGGCUAACUACGUGCCAGCAGCCGCGGUAAUACGUAGGGGGCAAGCGUUAUCCGGAUUUACUGGGUGUAAAGGGAGCGUAGACGGCGAUGCAAGUCCGAAGUGAAAGGCGGGGGCCCAACCCCCGGACUGCUUUGGAAACUGUAUGGCUGGAGUGCAGGAGAGGUAAGUGGAAUUCCUAGUGUAGCGGUGAAAUGCGUAGAUAUUAGGAGGAACACCAGUGGCGAAGGCGGCUUACUGGACUGUAACUGACGUUGAGGCUCGAAAGCGUGGGGAGCAAACAGGAUUAGAUACCCUUGUAAG
Molecule: ribosomal RNA, 449 nt
Filed under: uncultured bacterium
Lineage: Bacteria
Description: bacterial SSU rRNA
Rfam family: Bacterial small subunit ribosomal RNA
Source: RNAcentral